RNAcentral lists this non-coding RNA (27 nucleotides) under Cricetulus griseus (Chinese hamster). The record is from RNAcentral. Lineage: Eukaryota; Metazoa; Chordata; Mammalia; Rodentia; Cricetidae.
AUAUUUGGGAGAAACUGGGAAUGUGAG